This 559-nucleotide ribosomal RNA is filed under the name Desmoscolecidae sp. 163_4-1000_Q. RNAcentral's name for it is "eukaryotic LSU rRNA". It matches the Rfam family "Eukaryotic large subunit ribosomal RNA", at positions 392 to 856 of the family's 3401-position model. The record is from RNAcentral. Lineage: Eukaryota; Metazoa; Nematoda; Chromadorea; Desmoscolecida; Desmoscolecidae.
AGAGGGCGUGAAACUGCAUAGAAGGAAACGUGAGGUGCUGUUUUUGCUGUCAGUGUUCAGCCGUGGAGGCUCAUGUCUCUGCGGUGCAUUCGCUGUCAGUGGCGCUGGAACUGAUGGAGUGGGAAGGUUGAUUUUUCUGUUUGGUCGCUGCUUCUUGCAGUGGUCAGCGGUUUUGUUGAUCUAACCACUCUAUUGGUCUUAUUGGCAUUUAAUGGGCAAUUUGAGGUUUGACAGGCAGUUUCCCAUUUUGAUGUGCAUCGUCUUUGUGGGUUUCUGUCUUCUCUCCUUUCGUUGCUUUGAUGUUUCCAGUGUAAAAUACGGCUUACCUCUCGACCCGUCUUGAAACACGGACCAAGGAGUCUAACAUGUGCGCGAGUCAAUGGGUUUUAAACUCAGUGGCGCAAUGAAAGUGAAUGACGGCUCUGUCGACUGAUACACGACCUGAAGCGAUUCAGUGCAGUGUAGUCCCAUUCCGAUUGCUCGUCAAUGGGGUGGAGAAAGAGCGUAUUUGUUGGGACCCGAAAGAUGGUGAACUAUGCCUGAACAGGAUGAAGCCAGA